AGAGUUUGAUCCUGGCUCAGGAUGAACGCUGGCGGAGUGCCUAAUACAUGCAAGUCGAGCGGCAGCACGAGUAGUUUACUACUUGGUGGCGAGCGGCGGACGGCUGAGUAACGCGUGGGAACAUGCCCCAAAGUGAGGAAUAACUGCCCGAAAGGGUAGCUAAUGCCGCAUAUGAUCUUCGGAUUAAAGGAUUUAUCCGCUUUGGGAGUGGCCCGCGUACGAUUAGAUAGUUGGUGAGGUAACGGCUCACCAAGUCUGCGAUCAGUAACUGGUGUGAGAGCACGACCAGUCACACGGGCACUGAGACACGGGCCCGACUCCUACGGGAGGCAGCAGUAAGGAAUAUUGGUCAAUGGACGAAAGUCUGAACCAGCCAUGCCGCGUGAAGGAUGAAGGUCCUCUGGAUUGUAAACUUCUUUUAUCUGGGACGAAACACUCUUAUUCUUAGGAGCUUGACGGUACCAGAGGAAUAAGCACCGGCUAACUCCGUGCCAGCAGCCGCGGUAAUACGGAGGGUGCAAGCGUUAUCCGGAUUCACUGGGUUUAAAGGGUGCGUAGGUGGGUCUGUAAGUCAGUGGUGAAAUCUCCGAGCUUAACUCGGAAACUGCCAUUGAUACUAUAGGUCUUGAAUUUUCUGGAGGUAAGUGGAAUAUGUCAUGUAGCGGUGAAAUGCUUAGAUAUGACAUAGAACACCAAUUGCGAAGGCAGCUUACUACAGGAACAUUGACACUGAGGCACGAAAGCGUGGGGAUCAAACAGGAUUAGAUACCCCCGUAGUCC
Molecule: ribosomal RNA, 780 nt
Filed under: uncultured Chitinophagaceae bacterium
Lineage: Bacteria; Pseudomonadati; Bacteroidota; Chitinophagia; Chitinophagales; Chitinophagaceae
Description: bacterial SSU rRNA
Rfam family: Bacterial small subunit ribosomal RNA
Source: RNAcentral